ACGGGAGGCAGCAGUGGGGGAUAUUGCACAAUGGAGGAAACUCUGAUGCAGCAACGCCGCGUGAGGGAAGAAGGUUUUCGGAUUGUAAACCUCUGUUUUCGGUGAAGAAACAAAUGACGGUAGCCGAAGAGGAAGCCACGGCUAACUACGUGCCAGCAGCCGCGGUAAUACGUAGGUGGCAAGCGUUGUCCGGAAUUACUGGGUGUAAAGGGUGCGUAGGCGGGACUGCAAGUUGGAUGUGAAAUACCGGGGCUUAACCCCGGAGCUGCAGCCAAAACUGUGGUUCUUGAGUGGAGUAGAGGUAAGCGGAAUGCCGAGUGUAGCGGUGAAAUGCGUAGAUAUUCGGAGGAACACCAGUUGCGAAGGCGGCUUACUGGGCUCUAACUGACGCUGAGGCACGAAAGUGUGGGUAGCAAACAGGAUUAGAUACCCUGGUA
Molecule: ribosomal RNA, 437 nt
Filed under: uncultured Clostridium sp.
Lineage: Bacteria; Bacillati; Bacillota; Clostridia; Eubacteriales; Clostridiaceae
Description: partial 16S ribosomal RNA
Rfam family: Bacterial small subunit ribosomal RNA
Source: RNAcentral